GAUGAACGCUGGCGGCGUGCCUAAUACAUGCAAGUCGAGCGAACAGACGAGGAGCUUGCUCCUCUGACGUUAGCGGCGGACGGGUGAGUAACACGUGGAUAACCUACCUAUAAGACUGGGAUAACUUCGGGAAACCGGAGCUAAUACCGGAUAAUAUAUUGAACCGCAUGGUUCAAUAGUGAAAGACGGUUUUGCUGUCACUUAUAGAUGGAUCCGCGCCGCAUUAGCUAGUUGGUAAGGUAACGGCUUACCAAGGCAACGAUGCGUAGCCGACCUGAGAGAGUGAUCGGCAACACUGGAGCUGAGACACGGUCCAGACUCCUACGGGAGGCAGCAGUAGGGAAUCUUCCGCAAUGGGCGAAAGCCUGACGGAGCAACGCCGCGUGAGUGAUGAAGGUCUUCGGAUCGUAAAACUCUGUUAUUAGGGAAGAACAAAUGUGUAAGUAACUAUGCACGUCUUGACGGUACCUAAUCAGAAAGCCACGGCUAACUACGUG
This 497-nucleotide ribosomal RNA is filed under the name uncultured bacterium. RNAcentral's name for it is "partial 16S ribosomal RNA". It matches the Rfam family "Bacterial small subunit ribosomal RNA", at positions 28 to 507 of the family's 1533-position model. The record is from RNAcentral.